GAUGAACGCUAGCGGCAGGCUUAAUACAUGCAAGUCGAGGGGCAGCACAGGUAGCAAUACUGGGUGGCGACCGGCAAACGGGUGCGGAACACGUACACAACCUUCCUUUAAGCGGGGAAUAGCCCAGAGAAAUUUGGAUUAAUACCCCAUAGAAUAUUGGUGAGGCAUCUCAUUAAUAUUAAAGAUUUAUCACUUGAAGAUGGGUGUGCGUCUGAUUAGGUAGUUGGCGGGGUAACGGCCCACCAAGCCAUCGAUCAGUAACUGGUGUGAGAGCACGACCAGUCACACGGGCACUGAGACACGGGCCCGACUCCUACGGGAGGCAGCAGUAAGGAAUAUUGGUCAAUGGACGCAAGUCUGAACCAGCCAU
Molecule: ribosomal RNA, 370 nt
Filed under: uncultured bacterium
Lineage: Bacteria
Description: bacterial SSU rRNA
Rfam family: Bacterial small subunit ribosomal RNA
Source: RNAcentral